CCUGUUGGCUGGUUUACUCCCCCGUAGUGGUGCAAUGGCCAGGAGCGGACCAAGCUGAAGGCAGGAGCUGGGGAGUCAGAGCAGGCCUGCCAUGGGCUGCCAGGGAUCCAGUGCUGGAGCCGUCACCUGAUGCCUGCCAGGAGGACACACAUUCCCAGGAAGCUGGAGGACUGCAACCCAGGUGCUCUGAUGUGGAGUGUGGGAGUCCAUGGAGAUGGUUUGCUGAAGGUGCCGGAAGCAGUGCCACGUGAGCUGAUCGCAUGCUGCCUUCACAUCCCUUGCAGGAGUGUCGUGUGCCUGCUGCUGCGGGUGUGCAGAUGUGAUGUCCUCGGGAAAAGUGUGGCUUGUUAAGUCCAGGCGAAUCUAAGGUCAGUGACUGGGCACGAGUCUGCAUCACUGUGCCAGGCAGCUACACCAUGGGUGCUGAGGUGUCAGCCUUGGAGCCAUACUGUUGGAGGAAGUCCCUGGCUGUGGAGUCUGUGUCCUUGGGGUGCCCAAAUUUCUGAUUUCACUAUGGUGAAUUGAUGCCAAGUGCUGGGACCCCAUAGCCUGUGGCUAAGCCAGUUCACAUUGAUGCAGGUGGAAACCCCAAAGGAUUAGUCUUUCACUGGUCCUUUGUUUUACAUCUCUUGGUGGUGUUUGUGGAUAACUGAGGGACAGAUGAACAGAGGCCAACACAAGAAAUAUCACCAGAGUUGCUACUUGCUGCCGGCUCAGUGCUGCCUGAAACUGUUGUUUGCAUGAGAAUCGUCUCCAGACCUAGAGCAAGAGAUUCCUGGGCCAGAUCAUGGGUUCACUCAGGCUCUUCCUGUUGGGUACACACACUGCGACUUAGAAAGGGAAAUGGGACAUUGAUUUGUGUGUUUCAGGACUGGGACGUGAACAGUUGCUACUUGGUUUAUGUUUAUGGCAAAGAGAGUGUGUCCCUCAGCUGGGAGCCCAGAACACAACUCAAGUCACCCAUGUGGGUGGCAGGAAGCUAACUGCUUAAGCCAUCACCACUGCAUCCCAGGGACUCGUUAGCGGGAAACUGGAACCAACAACCAGAGCCUGGGAUCCAAACCAGGCAGUGUUGCAGAACCCCGGAACUCAAAAUCUGCUCACAGGAUCCCAGGAGGUGCUUGCAAGGCAUGAAGCAAGAGCUGGGCAACCACUGCCCAACUCCCAGGCUAGCUCCAGGGAGAGGGGGUGAAGGUUCUUCAAAAUGAAGUUGGGGUUCAGAAGUAUGCAUUCAACUCCAACGUAGGUUUUUUGUUUUUACUUUUGUUGUUGUUGUUACUGUCCUUAAUGACACUGCAAUAAAGUCGCAGGGUUGAUGUUUUUGUAAAUUGAGACUUGGUUGCCAACCUG
Long non-coding RNA from Ochotona curzoniae (black-lipped pika), 1350 nucleotides. RefSeq lists it as uncharacterized. The record is from RefSeq and is a predicted model, not a curated record. The transcript is spliced from 4 exons. NCBI's taxonomy places the organism in Eukaryota, Metazoa, Chordata, Mammalia, Lagomorpha, Ochotonidae.